This 253-nucleotide ribosomal RNA is filed under the name uncultured bacterium. Its description in RNAcentral is "partial 16S ribosomal RNA". It matches the Rfam family "Bacterial small subunit ribosomal RNA", at positions 524 to 776 of the family's 1533-position model. The record is from RNAcentral.
UACGAAGGGGGCUAGCGUUGUCCGGAAUCAUUGGGCGUAAAGGGUGCGUAGGUGGCGCGCUAAGUCAGGUGUGAAAUCUCGGGGCUUAACUCCGAAACUGCAUUUGAUACUGGCGUGCUUGAGGACUGGAGAGGAGACUGGAAUUCAUGGUGUAGCAGUGAAAUGCGUAGAGAUCAUGAGGAAGACCAGUGGCGAAGGCGGGUCUCUGGACAGUUCCUGACACUGAGGCACGAAGGCCAGGGGAGCAAACGGG